This 474-nucleotide ribosomal RNA is filed under the name uncultured bacterium. RNAcentral describes it as "bacterial SSU rRNA". It matches the Rfam family "Bacterial small subunit ribosomal RNA", at positions 355 to 844 of the family's 1533-position model. The record is from RNAcentral.
UGGGGAAUCUUGGACAAUGGGGGCAACCCUGAUCCAGCCAUGCCGCGUGAGUGAUGAAGGCCUUAGGGUCGUAAAGCUCUUUCGCCUGUGAAGAUAAUGACGGUAGCAGGUAAAGAAACCCCGGCUAACUCCGUGCCAGCAGCCGCGGUAAUACGGAGGGGGUUAGCGUUGUUCGGAAUUACUGGGCGUAAAGCGCACGUAGGCGGACCAGAAAGUUGGGGGUGAAAUCCCGGGGGCUCAACCCCGGAACUGCCUCCAAAACUAUUGGUCUAGAGUUCGAGAGAGGUGAGUGGAAUUCCAAGUGUAGAGGUGAAAUUCGUAGAUAUUUGGAGGAACACCAGUGGCGAAGGCGGCUCACUGGCUCGAUACUGACGCUGAGGUGCGAAAGUGUGGGGAGCAAACAGGAUUAGAUACCCUGGGUAGUCCACGCCGUAAAACGAUGAAUGUUAGCCGUCGGGCAGUAUACUGUUCGGU